Molecule: transfer RNA, 52 nt
Filed under: Histiostomatidae sp. XFX
Lineage: Eukaryota; Metazoa; Arthropoda; Arachnida; Sarcoptiformes; Histiostomatidae
Description: tRNA-Asp
Source: RNAcentral
UAAGCUACAGUUUUAGAAAUAUAGUUUUGUCGUGACUAAGUUUAUAGCUUAC